This 366-nucleotide ribosomal RNA is filed under the name uncultured eukaryote. RNAcentral describes it as "partial 18S ribosomal RNA". It matches the Rfam family "Eukaryotic small subunit ribosomal RNA", at positions 592 to 976 of the family's 1831-position model. The record is from RNAcentral.
CAAUAGCGUAUAUUUAAGUUGUUGCAGUUAAAAAGCUCGUAGUUGGAUUUCUGGAGGGAGCGUCGGCCCGUAUUUAUGAGUGCGUGACGUCUCUGUCCAUCCUUGCGGGAAGGCACGGCAUUGAUUUGUUGUGUCGGAUCGCAUCAUUUACUGUGAAAAAAUUAGAGUGUUCAAAGCAGGCUUUCGCUUGAAUACAUUAGCAUGGAAUAAUAAGAUAGGACUUUGGUGCUAUUUUGUUGGUUGAGCCUAAAGUAAUGAUUAAUAGGGAUAGUUGGGGGCACCUGUAUUGCGUUGUCAGAGGUGAAAUUCUUGGAUUUACGCAAGACAAACAGCUGCGAAAGCGUCUGCCAAGGAUGUUUUCAUUAA